Molecule: long non-coding RNA, 2290 nt
Organism: Gallus gallus (chicken)
Lineage: Eukaryota; Metazoa; Chordata; Aves; Galliformes; Phasianidae
Source: Ensembl
GACAUGGAAGGUGCAAACCGAGUACACAUAGACCAGUGCACCUGUGCCAAGAACAGAGAAAGAUGGUAGUGUCUUAAGAAAAGGAACCAUCUCUGCUUGGAAAGCCACCAGGAGGAGGCCUGGCCUUCCCAGAAGUGCACCAACAGCAGCAAAGAGUCUCUUGCAACCACUUAGCUACCUCUUUCUGCUCCGCAGCUGGGAUUAAUGCCCAAUUCUGUGAGCAUUUUUCCUCUUCCUCCUGUUUGCUCCACUGCAAAGUCAGACAGCUUAGUAUAAACUCCCUUCAAAGAAGCAUUCCAGCUGCUGAAUCAGCUGAGAAGACAAAGAGCAAGGCUGGUGUGAAGCCCAUUCUGGAGCAGUGGAAACCAACAAAAUUAAAACAAACAAACAAAAAAAUAUAUGAGGAAUCUGCACACAGGUGUGUGUGGUGCAGAGAAAAACUCUUAGCCUUUUUUCACUUGAUUUGCCAAAUCCCCAGCCCUGCAUCAGGGCUCCCAGCUCUGCCCAGCUGCCGGAUGGUGCUCUGGGAUUCAUCCCCUGCACUGCCUGCUUCUCUUUUCUGUUCACUGGAUCCCUUUGCUGUCCUAUGACCUGUCUAAUGCGGAGGAGAAGAAACGUGGUUGACUGCACAAAGAGGUUUCCCUCAUCCAUCAGUUCAUCUUCCCCUCCAGCCCUCUGCCAUAAAAUUGGCCCGUGAAAAGGAACACUGGAAGAAAAAGGACAAAAGCUGGACUAAAGUAAUCAAAGGAAGGGAAGAAGGAAGAGGUGAUGGGAGCAGCCAGAGCUCAGCAUGUAGGGUGAAGGGAGCUGCACCAAGCAGGAAAAGAUGCUUUCUGUCUUUCACCUGAUGACAAUCCCUCCUGAAGUGCUGAGACUUGAAAUUAAAACAGAGACUUCAUUUCAUGAGUGUGUGUGAUGCCUAAUGCUGGUUUUAUAGAAUUAUGUGGAAACCUCAUGCAAAUUUGCCUUCAGGCUUUUCCAUGUCCUAACCCAGACAGCUCUUUCCUCCUUUCAAUGCUUAGCAACUUAUAUCGUUCUAAACUACAGAGACAGUGUAUUAGUUUACCCAAAUUCACUGUCAUUUGAUUGCAUUUUGUUUUACUCACAAGUGAAUGAUGCAGAGGUGCCAGUGCAAGAAGUCUUCCAUGCAAACCCCCGCUAGCAGCAAACAGAUGGACAGAUUCCAGGUUGUCUUAAUUUUUUCAAUUAGCUGUUCUAAUACAAUUCCUCACCAAGCAUUUCUGAUCUUCAAGGUGUUGCAUUUACAAGAAAGCAUUAGAGAAAGAGGAGGUAUCUUUGCUUAUCAGAUUAAAGAAACUAAUUAUGUUGAGGAUUUUUUAGUACUUAAAAAAACAAGAAGUGGGUGUUAGCUCUAUGUCAUGCUACAAAACAUCAACGUGGUGACCCCAUUUAAUUAUUUUCUUCAUUCACUAAGCUCCUAUAUCGGCAAGACUUCUUGCAUUUCACGGGGACAAUGGGAUACUCAAAGACAAAAGAUGAUGUUUAAAAAGAAAAUAACUAAUUAGAUGUCAAAGCUUUAUAUUAAAAGUGCUCAGUGAGAAAAACACUGAGGGAUUUUGCACAGAUACAAAGGCAAACAGGAGGUUUAUCCUAUUAACUAUGUGCUUCUAAUCCAUAUAUCCACUCAGAAUCUAGCCAUUUUAUCCAUCAGCCAGGCUGGUUUGCAUUAAAGAGGGACAAAAUCUGAAUAUGACGUGGGUAUUUCUAUGGCUUACUGUACCUUUUUUCAUAUGAUGUCAUUUUUUCUGCGUAAGUGGCUUUGCCAGGAUGAUUGCUGAAGUGAGAAUUGGAUACCAGGGUAUCAGUCAUUCUAUAUGUCUGCCACAAGUGCUCCUACUUCUUUAAUGCUGCUGAACUUUUGUUCAUAACGCACAAAUGCACACAGUUUUCAUUAUAGUACUGAAGCAUAAGUGGGGAGGACUAGAAAAUAAGAAAGUACCAGUCAGCACCUUUUUAAGCAUGCACAGUGUGUAAUUGAAAAUGUUGCAGGACCCAAUUGUCAACCUAAUAUCAUUUUAAGGCAUAAAAUCAUGGAACUGUUUUCUUCAGUAUUCAAGACGUGGUUAUGACAGACACUUAUAUGCUGGCGAAGUCUCACAUAUGUUAUCAGCAAUUCUGCAGCAUGGUUACAAGGAAAAUUGUUUGCAUAUUAAUUAUUACAUCAAAAGAAGAAAAUAGUGUUCCCUGAUCCAGAAGACACUUUGGAAGUCACCAAGGAAAGCUCCAAGUGGAGGAACAACAUAUAAGGUAAAUAGUGUCUUUUUCAGGG